AACGGCGAGUGAAGCGGCAACAGCUCAAAUUUGAAAUCUGGCUCUCGGGCCCGAGUUGUAAUUUGUAGAGGAUACUUUUGAUGCGGUGCCUUCCGAGUUCCCUGGAACGGGACGCCAUAGAGGGUGAGAGCCCCGUCUGGUUGGAUGCCAAAUCUCUGUAAAGUUCCUUCAACGAGUCGAGUAGUUUGGGAAUGCUGCUCUAAAUGGGAGGUAUAUGUCUUCUAAAGCUAAAUACCGGCCAGAGACCGAUAGCGCACAAGUAGAGUGAUCGAAAGAUGAAAAGCACUUUGAAAAGAGAGUUAAAAAGUACGUGAAAUUGUUGAAAGGGAAGCGUUUAUGACCAGACUUGGGCUUGGUUAAUCAUCUGGGGUUCUCCCCAGUGCACUUUUCCAGUCCAGGCCAGCAUCAGUUUUCCCCGGGGGAUAAAGGCGGCGGGAAUGUGGCUCUCUUCGGGGAGUGUUAUAGCCCACCGUGUAAUACCCUGGGGGGGACUGAGGUUCGCGCAUCUGCAAGGAUGCUGGCGUAAUGGUCAUCAACGACCCGUCUUGAAACACGGACCAAGGAGUCGUCUUCGUAUGCGAGUGUUCGGGUGUCAAACCCCUACGCGUAAUGAAAGUGAACGCAGGUGAGAGCUUCGGCGCAUCAUCGACCGAUCCUGAUGUUCUCGGAUGGAUUUGAGUAAGAGCAUACGGGGCCGGACCCGAAAGAAGGUGAACUAUGCCUGUAUAGGGUGAAGCCAGAGGAAACUCUGGUGGAGGCUCGCAGCGGUUCUGACGUGCAAAUCGAUCGUCAAAUAUGGGCAUGGGGGCGAAAGACUAAUCGAACCUUCUAGUAGCUGGUUUCCGCCGAAGUUUCCCUCAGGAUAGCAGUGUUGAACUCAGUUUUAUGAGGUAAAGCGAAUGAUUAGGGACUCGGGGGCGCUAUUUAGCCUUCAUCCAUUCUCAAACUUUAAAUAUGUAAGAAGCUC
RNAcentral lists this ribosomal RNA (967 nucleotides) under Fusarium oxysporum. Its description in RNAcentral is "partial large subunit ribosomal RNA". It matches the Rfam family "Eukaryotic large subunit ribosomal RNA", at positions 85 to 1083 of the family's 3401-position model. The record is from RNAcentral. Lineage: Eukaryota; Fungi; Ascomycota; Sordariomycetes; Hypocreales; Nectriaceae.